RNAcentral lists this ribosomal RNA (859 nucleotides) under uncultured bacterium. RNAcentral describes it as "bacterial SSU rRNA". It matches the Rfam family "Bacterial small subunit ribosomal RNA", at positions 1 to 851 of the family's 1533-position model. The record is from RNAcentral.
UAGAGUUUGAUCCUGGCUCAGGAUGAACGCUAGCGACAGGCUUAACACAUGCAAGUCGAGGGGCAGCGGGGCAGGAAGCUUGCUUUCUGCCGCCGGCGACCGGCGCACGGGUGAGUAACACGUAUGGAACCUGCCCGUAGCAGGGGGAUAAACGGAAGAAAUUCCGUCUAAUACCGCGUAAUAACUCCGAGAGGCAUCUCAUGGAGUUUAAAGGGUAACACCGGCUACGGAUGGCCAUGCGGCGCAUUAGCUAGUUGGCGGGGUAACGGCCCACCAAGGCGACGAUGCGUAGGGGUUCUGAGAGGAAGGUCCCCCACACUGGUACUGAGACACGGACCAGACUCCUACGGGAGGCAGCAGUGAGGAAUAUUGGUCAAUGGGCGCGAGCCUGAACCAGCCAAGUCGCGUGAGGGAAGACGGUCCUAUGGAUUGUAAACCUCUUUUGUCGGGGAGCAAAAGACGCCACGUGUGGCGUUCCGAGAGUACCCGAAGAAAAAGCAUCGGCUAACUCCGUGCCAGCAGCCGCGGUAAUACGGAGGAUGCGAGCGUUAUCCGGAUUUAUUGGGUUUAAAGGGUGCGCAGGCGGAAGAUCAAGUCAGCGGUAAAAUUGAGAGGCUCAACCUCUUCGAGCCGUUGAAACUGGUUUUCUUGAGUGAGCGAGAAGUAUGCGGAAUGCGUGGUGUAGCGGUGAAAUGCAUAGAUAUCACGCAGAACUCCGAUUGCGAAGGCAGCAUACCGGCGCUCAACUGACGCUCAUGCACGAAAGUGUGGGUAUCGAACAGGAUUAGAUACCCUGGUAGUCCACACAGUAAACGAUGAAUACUAAUUGUUCGGGGAGAAUGAUCCCUGAGUGAUACAG